RNAcentral lists this ribosomal RNA (419 nucleotides) under bacterium. Its description in RNAcentral is "partial 16S ribosomal RNA". It matches the Rfam family "Bacterial small subunit ribosomal RNA", at positions 355 to 776 of the family's 1533-position model. The record is from RNAcentral.
UGGGGGAUAUUGCACAAUGGGCGAAAGCCUGAUGCAGCGACGCCGCGUGGGGGAUGAAGGCCUUCGGGUUGUAAACUUCUUUUGCUCUGAACAAGGCAUGCUAAUGGGUGUGUUGAGUGUAGGGGUUGAUUAGCGCCGGCUAACUACGUGCCAGCAGCCGCGGUAAUACGUAGGGCGCGAGCGUUGUCCGGAAUUAUUGGGCGUAAAGGGCUUGUAGGUGGCUGGUUGCGUCUGUCGUGAAAGCUCAUGGCUUAACUGUGGGUUUGCGGUGGGUACGAGCUGGCUUGAGUGCAGUAGGGGAGGCUGGAAGUCCUGGUGUGGCGGUGGAAUGCGCAGAUAUCAGGAGGAAUACCGGUGGCGAAGGCGGGUCUCUGGGCUGUUACUGACACUGAGGAGCGAAAGCAUGGGGAGCGAACAGG